AUUGAACGCUGGCGGCAGGCCUAACACAUGCAAGUCGAGCGGAUGAAGGGAGCUUGCUCCUGGAUUCAGCGGCGGACGGGUGAGUAAUGCCUAGGAAUCUGCCUGGUAGUGGGGGAUAACGUCCGGAAACGGGCGCUAAUACCGCAUACGUCCUGAGGGAGAAAGUGGGGGAUCUUCGGACCUCACGCUAUCAGAUGAGCCUAGGUCGGAUUAGCUAGUUGGUGGGGUAAAGGCCUACCAAGGCGACGAUCCGUAACUGGUCUGAGAGGAUGAUCAGUCACACUGGAAGAGAGACACGGUCCAGACUCCUACGGGAGGCAGCAGUGGGGAAUAUUGGACGAUGGGCGAGAGCCUGAUCCAGCCAUGCCGCGUGUGUGAAGAAGGUCUUCGGAUUGUAAAGCGCUGUAAGUUGGGAGGAAGGGCAGUAAGUUAAUACCUUGCUGUUUUGACGUUACCAACAGAAUAAGCACCGGCUAACUUCGUG
Molecule: ribosomal RNA, 484 nt
Filed under: uncultured bacterium
Lineage: Bacteria
Description: partial 16S ribosomal RNA
Rfam family: Bacterial small subunit ribosomal RNA
Source: RNAcentral